This 262-nucleotide long non-coding RNA is filed under the name Lathyrus oleraceus (garden pea). RNAcentral's name for it is "Pisum sativum (pea) long non-coding RNA (PSAT_LNC035941)". Lineage: Eukaryota; Viridiplantae; Streptophyta; Magnoliopsida; Fabales; Fabaceae. The record is from RNAcentral.
AGUUUGUAGGUCGUGUGGCACGACGCUUGCUAUUUUUUAGAAGUUUUUGGCCUGUAGGAAGUUUCUUUAGUUUAGUAUAAAUAGGGUAUCCCACAAGGGGUUCGAGGUGUUCACCUUGUACUAAAAUAACUUGUAGAAAACUUCUCAUUCCCAGCGUGAGGAAGCAAGAAUUUUUAAGAGUGCUAUGUACGUGAAUCACCAUAUUUAUUUCAACGCAACUUCCUUACUUUUCAAUUGUUCCUGUUGAACAUUUUAUUUUAAU